CAUAGAUAUUGCAACCCAGAAGUGCUAGAAACCACAGAUAAGAAAUAUGGUACAAAUAUUCUUGGGGAAGAUAAAGCAUACACCCAAAAUUCAAGUAUAUUCCUAAAAAAAAACACUAUCAACAUUUCUCAUCGCAACUAUCACAAUAUUUGAACAGGUUAACAUUUAGAAUAUCACUAUAUUUCGGAAGAUACCUUUUGAUUCCUUAUUCAAUAGACCAGUUACUAGUAACUUGACCUUGGCACUAGGUGCGGCAAAAUAAUUAGAAUAAAAGAGCUGAACUCAACUUUCAAAAUUCCGGACGCUACAGUGCAGUUGAAAGUUAACAAUUCAUAGAAGUUCAAAUAUUGAAUACUGACUAUUGAGUAUACAUAUGAGAUUGAAAAAGAAGCAUGAGUUAUGGUAAUCACACUGCAUCCAUCAACUUUUAUAUGGUUUAUCUUAAAAAGAAGGAGGGGCAGCCCUGCUACACAGGAAUCGUGCACAAGAGCAACAAGAUUAGAAAGAAAAAAAUAUGAUAACUUUUAGUAGAAUUGAAAAACUGAGCAAAAAAGAGUGCCAAGAACUCCAUAUAGUAAGUAAGGAACCUCAACAAACAAGCAGUACAUGUAACACCCCAGGUGAACUGACCCAAAUAACUUUAAGCCCUAAACCACCUGGCCCAAUGUGGGAUUGUCCCAUUGAUUGGUACCAACCCUGGGAUAUUUUGGGAUAUUAUAAUCUCUCCCACUAAAUUUUGUGAUGUCCCCAUUGCAACCUAUGCUGAUGAUGUGUUGUAUCGGAUACAAUUGCUAAACCAGGACUGAAUCUUCAGGCAUUGUGGUUCGCUAGUGCCUUGGUCGGUAACAACCCAGUUGAACUGACCUAAAUAACUUUCAGACCCUGAACCACCUGGCCCAAAAUGAUUAACCCAAGUUAUUUAGUACUUAAGGUUAUAUAAAUCCUUUAACAUUUUCAUUUCCCAGUAAUGUGAGAUUGUCCCACUGUUUGGUACCAAGCGCAAAUAAAAUGUAUUCUGAAGUCCAUAUGAUAUUUAUGCAUGCAAAACACAUGAUUAUCUCCUUAAGGGGACCUUUUCCAUCUUUUCUCAACCAAUUACUACAUUUUGAUGUUCAUAUUUAUAUUUGCAUUGCAUCUCAACUAGUAUCAUAUAUAACUGAAUCUUAUAAAGAUUAGGACCAUCAGAGAAAGUUAAAAUCACAAUACAACCAUGGCAACUUGCAAGACCUCCCCCCAACCUUCCCCUUUUUUAUGUGUGUGUCCAUUCCCAUUCAUUCCGGUAUAAGGGAUGGAAACAAGAUAUAGCUAUAGUGAAAAAUUACAAUUCUGCAACUUGCUAAACAUUUUAAUAGGCAUAAAAUGUCCUCUUCUCAUGGUUUUUGCUUGCUAAAAAUUGUAAGAAGCACCUUCUGGUCAAGUAGUUAUCUAAGCUAAUGAUGAUUGUUGUUGCAGCAUAUAUUCCGCAGAAUAAUUCUUAAAUACCAAAAAGAUAUCUAAACUUACAGGAAGAGUCUCCCAUAUUGCUUCAUCACUCAUGCUUUCUUCAUCUCCAGGCAUUAAAGCUCUACACAUCCUAUAAUAAUAAAGAACAUUAAAAAAAAUGCUUAAUAAGCUAUGAAAAUGAUUUCCUAAACUAAAUUUUAAGCAGCAGAAUGAUUUGAAUCAUGAGAGCAUCCUUCCAAGCAGAUAAGUUUAUAUUCUUUCUCGCCAUAGCUAUACUUAAAGUUUAAAACCCUACAAACCCCCUUGAAUCACGAAAGAUUUUAGGCCAUAAUAAAUGGAACCAGUGUUGUCAAAAACAAAGGUGUACUAUGGCAACAAGAACCUUUGCUGCUUGAGGUGAUAGGUGGCACUUUUUAACCUAAAAUAACUAACCAAGGCAAAAAUCACUAAACAUCAUCAUAUCAAGAUUUUUCAAUUAAAAAUUACAUUCCACAUAAUCAUAUAUGCAUCUCAAUCAGCAAAAGAACAUUAAUUCAUAUCAAAUUCUGAAAGCAAAAGAACCAAAUACGAAAUUAAAACUACUAAUCUACUAAUGUUUCUAGCAUGAAAAGUCCUAAGAUGAAUUAACUGAUUCUUAUCUUCUUCUUCACCUCUAUGGCCUUCCUUUUUACACUUAUAUUACCUUUUGCCCUAACAGAAGCUAAGGGAAGGGGAAAAUCUUGCCUUUUAAUUUUUACAAUUGACAUCUCACGCUUUGCAGCAUUUGCCCCUUAAGCCCAAGAUUUACAAGUGAACAAUAGGUAAGCCUCAACUAGCGUAGUAACAUACCCCCAUCUUAUUGGUUCAUGCACACAUUAAAUAUUCUCCCAUGAUACUGUGUACCUAGUAAAUUAAUAUACCCUAUUUCCACAAAAUAACAACUUCAUCAUUCCCAACCCCAUCAAACUGGACAAUGGACGCUAGGAAUGUACCCAUUUGCAUACUAGUGCAAGGACACAUGCAAAAGAUACAAACAAAACCCACCACAUCCUUAUAGCCAACCAUAUGACAUGACAUAUCCUAUUCCUACACUAUAGAAACACACACAAAUGUCAAGCUAAAACCAUCAAUAGCACAGUAAUUAAAUCUAUCCUUAACGUAUCACAUAUUUGGUGGAAUAACAUACUCCAAUCUGUAUAUUAAUUAAUGCACACACCUCCAGUAUGUGCAUUUCAUCUAUGCCUAGCCCAUACUUCUGCACAUCAGACAAAGUGAUGUAACCAAUUUGUAUACAAUUAUCAUAAACCAAAAAUAAAGUGUAAAUGAAUAAUCUCCAAUGCAAAUAAACAUAACUACUCAAAUUCAAAGAAUUCCGCACUAGAGAGGUCAAAAUUACUGUAAAAUUUUAAUAUCUAUUCAUUAGAAAAAUGAACUACAUGGGUGUUUAGUGGAUAAAGAAUAGAAAAAGUUAAUGAUAAUUGAUAAAAGAGGUACCUUAUAUUAUCAAUCAAGAUUGCUAUUUCAAACACCAACAACGGCAGGAAAACAAUCUUCAAGUUUACAACAUAAUUUCUCUCUAGACGUAUGCAAAGGAGUAGUUCAAAAGCAACAAGCAAUGGAGUUGCCAAUACAGCAUGAGAUGGUGCCCAAUGGCGAUCAUUGGGCAUCGAUGGAGCAGGUAAGGAAAACCUGCAACGUGCUACCACCGCAUGAAAUAGCCACAGAGGUGCAAAAAUGAUCCACCACGAGUAAGACCCUGCACGAUCAAGCUUGAGAGCAAGCAAAAGCGUGAAUAAGAAAAGCAGGCUAUGGGCUACAAGAGCCUGCAAAGACGUGGCCACUCUCCUCCAGCUCAUUAUCCCUCUUCUUUGAGCCAACAUAGUUGGGAAAAUUCCAAUUUCAAAGAAAUGAAUUCCCCUUCCCUCUUCUUACUCUGUAGCUUUGAAUUUGCAAAGAAAUGAUCGUUUAGAAAGUAACUGCAGAGGGAAAUAUCAAACGGAAAUUACAAAGAGAGUGACAUCAUAACCGGGACAUUUGUCUAUAUGACUUCGCUUUCACGCCGAAGCUAAGAGAGGAUACUCUGUAUAGAAGGGGGGCAACUUUUUU
This 3528-nucleotide unclassified non-coding RNA is filed under the name Hevea brasiliensis (rubber tree). The record is from RNAcentral. Lineage: Eukaryota; Viridiplantae; Streptophyta; Magnoliopsida; Malpighiales; Euphorbiaceae.